Long non-coding RNA from Carassius auratus (goldfish), 5175 nucleotides. RefSeq lists it as uncharacterized. The record is from RefSeq and is a predicted model, not a curated record. The transcript is spliced from 8 exons. NCBI's taxonomy places the organism in Eukaryota, Metazoa, Chordata, Actinopteri, Cypriniformes, Cyprinidae.
UACAGAACAUAUUAACAUUACGUACAAAGAGGUGACAUAACUGGCAAAGCACCCUUUAUACGUGUAUAUAACAAGUAAUACAAAACGAAAGUUUGGUGGUAGUGACAUAUUUUCCCUCUUAAAUGGAGCUCCACUCGCCCCCAUGGAGGCGACGUAAUUCUACGUAAAGUGUUACCCGGACCAACAUGGCGGCCGCGUCAUUAGUGGAGGCGACGUAAUUCUACGGAAAGUGUGGCCCGGUCCAACAUGGCGGCGACGUCCCUAGUGGAGGUGACGUAUUUCCGCUCUUGAGUGGAGCUCCACUCGCCCAUAUGUCUGCAGCCAGACCCUCUUGUUUUUAACGGAUGCGUUCGCAUAUUAUAUUUUACAGACGACGAUAAUUACUCCACAAGUACUUUAACUUUGUUUUUCAUAUAGGCUAGAGUUAUUGUAUGGCCUCGAGAUACUUGAAACAUUGCUGUCAUAUGAAUGAAAUCUCGUGUUUCGCCGAAGAAAGAAACUUGCAUCAUAAAGACAUGGGGGGAAAAAGACAUAAAGAAGAUCUGAAAGGCUGAGUGUUUUGUCCUUCAUCAGAUUGAGUUCUCUGAAAGGAAGUGGAAAUAUGAGCUGGACGUCCUGAUUUUCUUGUCCUUCAGCCCAGUCCAGGAUGAACUUCUGCACAGAGACUGUUUUUCCAAUGCCAGCGACUCCUUUUGUCAGAACAGUUCUGAUGGGUUUGUCUUGUCCAGUAUAAUCGAGGGAUAAAGAACCUUUUGUUUUUCUGAACAUGGCAUGCUGCAAAUGAGGAAGAUAAAGAAGACUAAAGUAUGUAAACCCUGUUUAAGAUCUGGUUUUACUGGUUUGAUACAGUAUAAAAUAGGUCAACAGCUUUUAAAAAAUAUAUAUUUUAAAGCAUUAAUUACAUGACAUAAAAAUGAAAGUAUACAAAUACUGUUUACUAAAACAAAUACAAAUAUAUUUUGUAUAAACUUUUGACAGUUAGCUGAACAUUACAUAUAAACUUUUCCCCAAGCACAACUUCUAAUAGUGUUUGGUUAUUUUUGUCUAAUGUGAUCCAUCAAAUGCUUUUCUCAGUCUGUGCAGAAGUAGCACUUACCAGAAUGAAGAUUUCUGUUUCUCACAGGUUACCUGCAGCAGGGUGAUGUUUAUUCCUCAGUGCUGUUGUGAGCGAGUUGUGGCAUCAAGGAAGUUGAUGGAUUAGUGUCUGCCCCAGAUGUCACAGGCCGCCCACAAUGCUCACUAAUUGCUUCAUGCAUAUUUUCAAUUUUUUUUUUUUUUUUUUUUUUUUUUUGACACUCAGGUUUUUUUUUUUUUUUUUCUGUGGCACAUGAAAAUAUUUUUUGCAAUAAUGGUGGAGAGAAUUUGGUUUUGCAGACUUCAAGUACCACAAGAAUUGAAAACAACGCAUGUGCUGUACUCCAAGUGUUGCAAUACAAUAGUUUUGUCUGUGGAACAGACUGAAUUUAAGUUGUUGGCAAUGCCUCUGUGUACCAGUGUUGUUUCUUAUGGUCAAGUAGGAUUAAAAAAGCUCAGUUAUUUAAAGAUACAAUACAUUAUAUAGUCCUAACUUGUUCUCAAACUGACAUGUUACAAACAUGGCAAAUAAGUUCUUUAAUUUACACAAUUUAUUCAUUAUGUAUUUUCAUGGUGACAUAUGUAUGCAAAAAAUAAUAAUAAUAAUUAGCAGUGUUUUAAUCAAAUUUAAAUGAUUUUGGAAACAAUUUUUAGCUUUUGGAUACGUUUUCAAUUCAGUAAUCAAUCUGCUUUAUAAAACGAUAUUUCUUGAACACUGAUCUAAAUAUUGGACACAUAGCAUACAGUAACCCUCUGUGCUUGUUUUCCAGUGUCUAUGAUAUUUAUGUCCCUAUUACUUUGGCUCUGAACAUAAGGUAGCCCAUAAAAAACAGUUCCAUUAACAGAUAAUACCUUUUUAAUAUAUGGAAGAAACUGAAAUGUUACAAACAAUUUAUAUAUAAAAAAAAAAAAUGUGACUAAUUUGAUGUUUAAAAAACAUUUCUAUGGUCUCUAAUUAGAGCUUCUAACACUUUUUGUUACUGUUGUUUAUAUUUCACCUUUAUGUGUAUGUCUGUUGUAUUGUCUCUCCUGUGCAGUCUAGUUUUAUAGAUUACAGAUGCUGUUUUUACAGCAGUUGGGUCUCAUACACCUGUACAUUCAUCAGCCUGCUGACAGAAGCAUGAGAUCAUCUCAGUGAUGCCGAGUAUAAUCCUGUUAAAGCGUCGAGCAGUCAGGUGUUCUGUAAUGUGCUGAGACAAGACAAGAGAGAUCAGGUGGUUGAGAGUGGAAGUCCUGACCGAGUUAGCAGACUGACCUCUGACCCUUCAAGGAAACUUGCAUUUAAAUCUAAGAACUUCCUGAGAAGAGGAAAACAUCCCGUCUGUGAUGAAUGUCCUUUUUACCUUUUGUGACACAUAAUACUCGAUCCAGAUGCAGUGAAGUGCAGAAACAAGCUCAUGAAAAAUCCACACGUCACUAUCUCGCUCAACUCAAAUUAAAAGUUCAACAUCCCCGAAAAACAACUGCAACUGUCCCAGACACGUGAACACUGCAUUCUGAUGAAAGACUUCAUUUGGGAGCCAAGACCUUUGCAGUUUCCUGUUGAUAGUGGAUCACAGCUGGAGGUCAAAGGUCAUCUGUAUGUGUGUGUAUCUGUGUCACCCAACACUCUGACAAAGUGUCUUUCAUUUUUCAUUCUGUCCAACAUCACUGAUUAUACUAUAAACAGACCUUUUUGCAGGACUGCUAAAGAGUGAGAUCCUGAAACCAAUUUUAUCAACGAUAUUUUCGUCCUUUUGAUAAUUUAAUUAUGGUUUUCCUUGUGAAAACUUACAAGACAUUGUAUCACAGCAACAUAAAUAAAAAGAUAAUAUACAUCAUAUUAAGCAAAUUAUUUUUCAGUGGCUUAAUAUAAGAAAAAUUCCACGUAUGUGCUGCCACAACAUUAAUUUCUAGUGAGUUUAGGUGAAGUAUUAUGGAUAAUUUAGGUAAAUGAAGUACGGUAAAUGCUUCACAACAGAUCACAAUAGACAGUUUUAUUGAAAUCACUCAUUCUACGUCAGCAAUUAUUGUUUUUGCAGUUGGAUUUAUACUGUGUAUGAAGUUUUUAAAAGGUAUCGUCCAAUUUAUUUACUUGCCAAAGCUAAUUUCACUUGCUGAAUGUUCAUUUUGGAGCAUGUUUGAACUUCACAUGUAGGUCUGUCCAGAUUUGCUCCUUUGAAAUCAUGAAGUCUGAUGCCAGUAAAAUGACUUCAGAAUGUUCUUAUGAGCCCCAUCCAAAAAAAUCAGCUGGUUUAUAGUUUCACUUCAGUCGUCCUUUCAAGUUUUCCAAUGAUCCGAUCACAGAGGUGAGUCUAGAUCAUAGUGCUGGAUUGUUUUGUCAAAUCACAACAUACAGAAUAACGCAGAUGCUUUGUAACAUCUUUCAGACUGAUGGAGAAGUUGAGCGUGGAUCUGAAGACGUGGGGGAGCGAGUGACUACUGGAGCUGACAAGAUCCUGAUGUUCGUUUUCUCAUGUUCUCGAGUGCAUCUUGAGCAUCAAUGCCAGCAAGAAUAUCUGGCCAUCUGUCACUCCUAUACUUAUAUUUAAUCUGUAAAUUAUAAAUAGUGCAUAUAGUUUUUUUUUUUAGAUUAUAACUUAUAAUGUACAUGUUAUUGUUUUAAGUGUAAAAAUAUGAUGUAAAAAUAUGAAAACAUUUUAUUUCCUGCUAACAAAGCAGUGACACCUUAUGCAUCAAUGCAAGUCCUUUUCCUGUAGGAUUUGCUUCUUUGCACGUAAAGCUCUACUCUUGAAGGUCUGGUGUGGUUCAGUGUGGUUUUUGAUGUUUACUCAGAGAGCUGAGCUGUUUCUGUGUCACCACGUCCGUCCGUGCGCUAGAUCACAAACACCAAAACCACAUGAUCUCACUCAUCUUUACGACCCACAAACAACCCCACUGAUUCAGCUGCAAACACACUGGAAACUAUUAAGACUUCACCGCAACGUGACGCUUUAUAUGUGAAAACAGAUUGAUAACAGACAAUGUUUCUCCAGCAAGCAAGAUAAAAGAUUGAGGAGUUUGGUUUCCUGAUGCUAAAAGCAGCUUUCUUUAGGAGAGUGGAUGGCCUCUGGGGACUGAUGUCUGAAGUGUGUGGAAUUAGACGUUCUUAAUGAACAUCCAUGCUACGUAGUAAACAUUGCCAAGUGAUUAGAACACUACAAACCCAUUUGAAAUCAUCUGAAGCUAAUUGAGUCUCAGAGGGGAAUGUGACUCCUUGUUUUAAAGGAAACUAUUGACUGCUGUCUCCUUCAGGGUUGACAGGAUUCUGUUUUCCUCAACAUGAAAUCAUCUGGAAAAGUUCCAGAUCAUCUAUCUAUCUAUCAUUCCAUAUCAUUCUAUCUUUUUUAUAUUUCAUUCUAUCUCUCGUUCUUUUGUUCUGUGUUUAUACUGUUUGAUCUUGUUAGCUUGAGAUGUUUGUUUGUCCAUCCCAUCAAUCUUGUUUGUUUUCCUCCCAGUUCCCUUCAGCUUCAUGAAAUUAAAAUAUAUAAAGCUGAAUUGGAUAUAAACACUGCACACACUCGCACGACUGAAAGCACUGAUUAGACGGACAAUCGAAAGUGAAGACAGACUGGAACGUUCAGUGUUCUUUUGGCAGCACCUGUCUGUUUAAUUCAACAAUCCCUAAACUAUAACACGUAUAUACACACAUCUGUCUUUCUUCCCCUGGCAUUGCUCAGUGAUUAAGACUGUGAUUUCUGUUAGCAAGGAUUUAAACAACGGAUGCACGUUUGCUGAUUGGUGCGUUUUGAUCAUGCAAAUGUUCAACCUUUAUAUUUGUGUUGUGCUAAAUUGUUAAACAUAUGUGUGCUGUACGUUCAAUGCUGUAAAGCAGGUUGUCUUAAAUGUGUGCAUGCCCAUGAUCUCAGCAAUAAUAUAUCAAACAACAUGCAUUAUUCUGCUCAAUAAAACACAUCGGAAGAUAAAUAUCUAUGACAGACGCUCCUCUGAGGGGCUUUUAAGAUUGUGGAUGUGUUUUCUGUCACAUUUCUCUGAGUUAUAGAGCACUACCAAUGAGAUACGGAGGCACUUUAAAUGACCUACACACACACACACUCUAAAAAUGGCUGGGUUAAAAAUAACCCAAUUGGCAACCCAGCACUGGGUAAAUAUUGGACAGAA